RNAcentral lists this ribosomal RNA (460 nucleotides) under uncultured bacterium. RNAcentral describes it as "partial 16S ribosomal RNA". It matches the Rfam family "Bacterial small subunit ribosomal RNA", at positions 338 to 795 of the family's 1533-position model. The record is from RNAcentral.
CCUACGGGAGGCAGCAGUGAGGAAUAUUGGUCAAUGGACGCGAGCCUGAACCAGCCAAGUAGCGUGAAGGAUGACUGCCCUACGGGUUGUAAACUUCUUUUAUAAGGGAAUAAAGUGAUGCACGUGUGCCUUUUUGUAUGUACUUUAUGAAUAAGGAUCGGCUAACUCCGUGCCAGCAGCCGCGGUAAUACGGAGGAUCCGAGCGUUAUCCGGAUUUAUUGGGUUUAAAGGGAGCGUAGAUGGAUUGUUAAGUCAGUUGUGAAAGUUUGCGGCUCAACCGUAAAAUUGCAGUUGAUACUGGCAGCCUUGAGUACAGUAGAGGUAGGCGGAAUUCGUGGUGUAGCGGUGAAAUGCUUAGAUAUCACGAAGAACUCCGAUUGCGAAGGCAGCUUACUGGACUGCAACUGACACUGAUGUUCGAAAGUGUGGGUAUCAAACAGGAUUAGAUACCCCAGUAGUC